RNAcentral lists this non-coding RNA (30 nucleotides) under Rattus norvegicus (Norway rat). The record is from RNAcentral. Lineage: Eukaryota; Metazoa; Chordata; Mammalia; Rodentia; Muridae.
UGAUCUUUUCAAAAAGCCGUGUGCUUAGCU